GUUGCCUUUAUUAUAUCCAUUUCUGUAUUCGUACCAGCACCUCGCAAAAUAAUUGUCUCAGCAGACUCCCUUGGGCAAUACUUCACAGACAUGACUGUGCACGCCAGUCACCCAGAGAUCAUGUUAAAAUGCACAUCUGGUUCAGCAGGCCUAGGUUUCUGUAUGUUAUAGAAGUUCAAAGAAGACAAACUCUAGCCAAGAGCAGUGUGAAGAAAAGAAGACGCUAUAUUAAUCACAGUCCAGGGAUGCCUUCUGGCUUCCUGGCAGCAAUUCCGGCCUGAGAUUCCUUCUCUGUGCAUACUUCCUGUCAACAUUGUGUGAUGUCAAGCUGUGGCCGUCACAAAAGUACUGUGAACACCUGUAAAUCCCAACUAUCAAAAAUCACACCCAGGAAUCCAAAUUAGCAUUAUUAUGUCAAAAGAAAAACCUGAUUUCUUCA
This 439-nucleotide long non-coding RNA is filed under the name Homo sapiens (human). RNAcentral describes it as "non-protein coding lnc-C8orf74-2:1". Lineage: Eukaryota; Metazoa; Chordata; Mammalia; Primates; Hominidae. The record is from RNAcentral.